Molecule: ribosomal RNA, 466 nt
Filed under: uncultured Anaerolineaceae bacterium
Lineage: Bacteria; Bacillati; Chloroflexota; Anaerolineae; Anaerolineales; Anaerolineaceae
Description: bacterial SSU rRNA
Rfam family: Bacterial small subunit ribosomal RNA
Source: RNAcentral
CUACAAAUGAAUUGAGGGGACCCGCACAAGCAGCGGAGCGUGUGGUUUAAUUCGUUGCUACACGAAGAACUUACCUGGGUUUGACAUAUAGGUUGUAGGGAACUGAAAGGGACCGACCCUUCGGGGAGCCUAUACAGGUGUUGCAUGGCUGUCGUCAGCUCGUGUCGUGAGAUGUUCGGUUAAGUCCGCUAACGAGCGCAACCCUCGUCGUAUGUUAUAUGUGUCAUACGAGACUGCCGGUAAAAGCCGGAGGAAGGUGAGGAUGAUGUCAAGUCAGCAUGACCUUUAUAUCCAGGGCUACACACACGCUACAAUGGUCUGUACAAUGGGUAGCCAAGCCGCGAGGCGGAGCCAAUCCUGAAAGCAGGCCUCAGUUCAGAUUGCAGUCUGCAACUCGACUGCAUGAAGCCGGAGUUGCUAGUAACCGCAGGUCAGCAAUACUGCGGUGAAUACGUUCCCGGGUCUU